GGGUGAGUAACACGUGAGUAACCUGCCCUUGACUCUGGGAUAACCUCCGGAAACGGAAGCUAAUACCGGAUACGAACCGCGGAGGCAUCUCCAGCGGUUGGAAAGAACUUCGGUCGAGGAUGGACUCGCGGCCUAUCAGGUAGUUGGUGAGGUAACGGCUCACCAAGCCUACGACGGGUAGCCGGCCUGAGAGGGUGACCGGCCACACUGGGACUGAGACACGGCCCAGACUCCUACGGGAGGCAGCAGUGGGGAAUAUUGCACAAUGGGCGAAAGCCUGAUGCAGCAACGCCGCGUGAGGGAUGACGGCCUUCGGGUUGUAAACCUCUUUUAGUAGGGAAGAAGCGAAAGUGACGGUACCUGCAGAAAAAGCACCGGCUAACUACGUGCCAGCAGCCGCGGUAAUACGUAGGGUGCGAGCGUUGUCCGGAAUUAUUGGGCGUAAAGAGCUCGGGCGGUCUGUCGCGUCUGCUGUGAAAACCCGAGGCUCAACCUCGGGCCUGCAGUGGGUACGGGCAGACUAGAGUGCGGUAGGGGAGAAUGGAAUUCCUGGUGUAGCGGUGGAAUGCGCAGAUAUCAGGAGGAACACCGAUGGCGAAGGCAGUUCUCUGGGCCGUAACUGACGCUGAGGAGCGAAAGCGUGGGGAGCGAACAGGAUUAGAUACCCUGGUAGUCCACGCCGUAAACGUUGGGCGCUAGAUGUGGGGACCAUUCCACGGUUUCCGUGUCGCAGCUAACGCAUUAAGCGCCCCGCCUGGGGAGUACGGCCGCAAGGCUAAAACUCAAAGGAAUUGACGGGGGCCCGCACAAGCGGCGGAGCAUGCGGAUUAAUUCGAUGCAACGCGAANAACCUUACCAAGGCUUGACAUAUACGANAACGGGCUANAAAUAGUCAACUCUUUGGACACUCGUAAACAGGUGGUGCAUGGUUGUCGUCAGCUCGUGUCGUGAGAUGUUGGGUUAAGUCCCGCAACGAGCGCAACCCUCGUUCUAUGUUGCCAGCACGUAAUGGUGGGAACUCAUAGGAGACUGCCGGGGUCAACUCGGAGGAAGGUGGGGAUGACGUCAAAUCAUCAUGCCCCUUAUGUCUUGGGCUUCACGCAUGCUACAAUGGCCGGUACAAAGGGCUGCAAUACCGUAAGGUGGAGCGAAUCCCAAAAAGCCGGUCUCAGUUCGGAUUGAGGUCUGCAACUCGACCUCAUGAAGUCGGAGUCGCUAGUAAUCGCAGAUCAGCAACGCUGCGGUGAAUACGUUCCCGGGCCUUGU
Molecule: ribosomal RNA, 1266 nt
Filed under: Leifsonia xyli subsp. xyli
Lineage: Bacteria; Bacillati; Actinomycetota; Actinomycetes; Micrococcales; Microbacteriaceae
Description: bacterial SSU rRNA
Rfam family: Bacterial small subunit ribosomal RNA
Source: RNAcentral